UUUUCCAGGUCCAACUUUACCAAAAUUGUAUGGAUCUUCGCAUCUCUAUGGCCUGUGGCAUCAAAAUUGAACCUCCUCCUAAAGCAUAAGGGGUGGGAAACUAUGGAAUAACGACCUUGUCCAGCUUACGAAGCUCCUGAAUGAUGGAAAGAAAUCAGGAGACAACCAUGCAUCGUUUGUAGUUUUAGUAGUUCUCAGUUUCUGUUCUUCCUUUUGUCUAAUAAAGUUGUUCCAUUAUGGUA
Molecule: long non-coding RNA, 242 nt
Organism: Limulus polyphemus (Atlantic horseshoe crab)
Lineage: Eukaryota; Metazoa; Arthropoda; Merostomata; Xiphosura; Limulidae
Exons: 3
Source: RefSeq, a predicted model, not a curated record